GAUGAACGCUGGCGGCGUGCUUAACACAUUCAAGUCGAACGGAAAGGCCCAAGCUUGCUUGGGUACUCGAGUGGCGAACGGGUGAGUAACACGUGGGUGAUCUGCCCUGCACUUCGGUAUAAUCCUGGGAAACUGGGUCUAAUACCGGAUAGGACGAUGGUUUGGAUGCCAUUGUGGAAAGUUUUUUCGGUGUGGGAUGAGCUCGCGGCCUAUCAGCUUGUUGGUGGGGUAAUGGCCUACCAAGGCGUCGACGGGUAGCCGGCCUGAGAGGGUGUACGGCCAGAUUGGGAUGGAGAUACAGCCCAGACUCGGACGGGAGGCAGCAGUGGGGAAUAUUGCACAAUGGGCGCAAGCGUGAGGGAGCGAGGCCGCGUGGGGGAUGACGGCCUUAGGGUGGUAAACUCCUUUCGCUAGGGACGAAGCGUUUUUGUGACGGUACCUGGAGAAGAAGCACCGGCUAACUACGUG
This 468-nucleotide ribosomal RNA is filed under the name uncultured bacterium. RNAcentral's name for it is "partial 16S ribosomal RNA". It matches the Rfam family "Bacterial small subunit ribosomal RNA", at positions 28 to 507 of the family's 1533-position model. The record is from RNAcentral.